This 89-nucleotide transfer RNA is filed under the name Caudoviricetes sp. RNAcentral's name for it is "tRNA-Ser". It matches the Rfam family "tRNA". Rfam says of the family: Transfer RNA (tRNA) molecules are approximately 80 nucleotides in length. Their secondary structure includes four short double-helical elements and three loops (D, anti-codon, and T loops). Lineage: Duplodnaviria; Heunggongvirae; Uroviricota; Caudoviricetes. The record is from RNAcentral.
GGAGCGGUACCCAAGUGGCUAAAAGGGGGCGGUCUUGAAAACCGCUAGGUCGUUAAUUCGGCGCGUGGGUUCGAAUCCCACCCGCUCCG